AGUGAACGCUGGCGGUAGGCCUAACACAUGCAAGUCGAACGGCAGCACAGUAAGAGCUUGCUCUUACGGGUGGCGAGUGGCGGACGGGUGAGGAAUACAUCGGAAUCUACUUUUUCGUGGGGGAUAACGUAGGGAAACUUACGCUAAUACCGUAUACGACCUACGGGUGAAAGCAGGGGAUCUUCGGACCUUGCGCGUUUCAAUGAGCCGAUGUCGGAUUAGCUAGUUGGCGGGGUAAAGGCCCACCAAGGCGACGAUCCGUAGCUGGUCUGAGAGGAUGAUCAGCCACACUAGAACUGAGACACGGUACAGACUCCUACGGGAGGCAGCAGGGGGGAAUAUUGGACAAUGGGCACAAGCCUGAUCCAGCCAUACCGCGUGGGUGAAGAAGGCCUUCGGGUUGUAAAGCCCUUUUGUUGGGAAAGAAAAGCAGCAGGUUAAUACCCCGCUGUUCUGACGGUACCCAAAGAAUAAGCACCGGCUAACUUCGUG
Molecule: ribosomal RNA, 492 nt
Filed under: uncultured bacterium
Lineage: Bacteria
Description: partial 16S ribosomal RNA
Rfam family: Bacterial small subunit ribosomal RNA
Source: RNAcentral